GACGAACGCUGGCGGCGUGCUUAACACUUGCAAGUCGAACGGUAAGGCCCUUCGGGGUACACGAGUGGCGAACGGGUGAGUAACACGUGGGUGAUCUGCCCUGCACUUCGGGAUAAGCCUGGGAAACUGGGUCUAACACCGGAUAGGACCACUGCCUGCAUGGGUGGUGGUGGAAAGCUUUUGCGGUGUGGGAUGGGCCCGCGGCCUAUCAGCUUGUUGGUGGGGUGAUGGCCGACCAAGGCGACGACGGGUAGCCGGCCUGAGAGGGUGACCGGCCACACUGGGACUGAGAUACGGCCCAGACUCCUACGGGGGGCAGCAGUGGGGAAUAUUGCACAAUGGGCGCAAGCCUGAUGCAGCGACGCCGCGUGAGGGAUGACGGCCUCCGGGUUGUAAACCUCUUUCAGCACCGACGAAGCGCAAGUGACGGUAGGUGCAGAAGAAGGACCGGCCAACUACGUGCCAGCCGCCGCCGUAA
This 478-nucleotide ribosomal RNA is filed under the name uncultured bacterium. RNAcentral's name for it is "partial 16S ribosomal RNA". It matches the Rfam family "Bacterial small subunit ribosomal RNA", at positions 28 to 523 of the family's 1533-position model. The record is from RNAcentral.